UAUUGGUCAAUGGGCGGGAGCCUGAACCAGCCAAGCCGCGUGAGGGAAGAAGGUACAGCGUAUCGUAAACCUCUUUUGUCAGGGAACAAAGGCGGGGACUAGUCCCCGGAUGAGGGUACAUGAAGAAAAAGCAUCGGCUAACUUCGUGCCAGCAGCCGCGGUAAUACGGAGGAUGCGAGCGUUAUCCGGAUUUAUUGGGUUUAAAGGGUGCGUAGGCGGGCAUUUAAGCCGGCGGUUAAAUGUCGGGGCUCAACCCCGGCCUGCCGUCGGAACUGGGUGCCUUGAGUGGGCGAGAAGUAUGCGGAAUGCGUGGUGUAGCGGUGAAAUGCAUAGAUAUCACGCAGAACCCCGAUUGCGAAGGCAGCAUACCGGCGCCCUACUGACGCUGAGGCACGAAAGUGCGGGUAUCG
This 410-nucleotide ribosomal RNA is filed under the name uncultured bacterium. Its description in RNAcentral is "bacterial SSU rRNA". It matches the Rfam family "Bacterial small subunit ribosomal RNA", at positions 362 to 770 of the family's 1533-position model. The record is from RNAcentral.